UACGUAGGGGGGCAAGCGUUGUCCGGAUUUAUUGGGCGUAAAGAGCGUGUAGGCGCUGGGUAGGUCCGUUGUGAAAACUCGAGGCUCAACCUCGAGACGCCGAUGGAAACCCCCCAGCUAGAGUCCGGAAGAGGAGAGUGGAAUUCCUGGUGUAGCGGUGAAAUGCGCAGAUAUCAGGAAGAACACCCGUGGCGAAGGCGGCUCUCUGGAACGCAACUGACGCUGAGACGCGAAAGCGUGGGGAGCAAACAGG
RNAcentral lists this ribosomal RNA (253 nucleotides) under uncultured bacterium. Its description in RNAcentral is "partial 16S ribosomal RNA". It matches the Rfam family "Bacterial small subunit ribosomal RNA", at positions 524 to 776 of the family's 1533-position model. The record is from RNAcentral.